AGAAUCAACGCUGGCGGCGUGCCUAACACAUGCAAGUCGAACGAGAAAGUGGAGCAAUCCAUGAGUAAAGUGGCGACCGGGUGAGUAACACGUGACUAACCUACCUUUUAGUGGGGGAUAACCUCGGGAAACCGAGGCUAAUACCGCAUAACAUCGCAAGAUCAAAGCAGCAAUGCGCUGGAAGAGGGGGGUCGCGGCUGAUUAGCUAGUUGGCGGGGUAACGCCCACCAAGGCGAAGAUCGGUA
RNAcentral lists this ribosomal RNA (245 nucleotides) under uncultured bacterium. RNAcentral describes it as "partial small subunit ribosomal RNA". It matches the Rfam family "Bacterial small subunit ribosomal RNA", at positions 26 to 285 of the family's 1533-position model. The record is from RNAcentral.